This 398-nucleotide ribosomal RNA is filed under the name uncultured bacterium. RNAcentral describes it as "bacterial SSU rRNA". It matches the Rfam family "Bacterial small subunit ribosomal RNA", at positions 29 to 429 of the family's 1533-position model. The record is from RNAcentral.
AUUGAACGCUGGCGGAAUGCUUUACACAUGCAAGUCGAGCGGCAGCGCGGGGGCAACCCUGGCGGCGAGCGGCGAACGGGUGAGUAACAUAUCGGAACGUACCCUGUCGUGGGGGAUAACUAUCCGAAAGGAUAGCUAAUACCGCAUACGACCUGAGGGUGAAAGCGGGGGAUCGCAAGGACCUCGCGCGAUAGGAGCGGCCGAUAUCGGAUUAGCUAGUUGGUGGGGUAAAGGCUCACCAAGGCGACGAUCCGUAGCUGGUCUGAGAGGACGACCAGCUACACUGGAACUGAGACACGGUCCAGACUCCUACGGGAGGCAGCAGUGGGGAAUUUUGGACAAUGGGGGCAACCCUGAUCCAGCCAUUCCGCGUGAGUGAAGAAGGCCUCGGUUGUAAG